This 410-nucleotide ribosomal RNA is filed under the name uncultured soil bacterium. RNAcentral's name for it is "bacterial SSU rRNA". It matches the Rfam family "Bacterial small subunit ribosomal RNA", at positions 26 to 443 of the family's 1533-position model. The record is from RNAcentral.
AGAUUGAACGCUGGCGGCAUGCCUUACACAUGCAAGUCGAACGGCAGCACGGGAGCAAUCCUGGUGGCGAGUGGCGAACGGGUGAGUAAUACAUCGGAACGUGCCCAAUCGUGGGGGAUAACGCAGCGAAAGCUGUGCUAAUACCGCAUAAGAUCUACGGAUGAAAGCAGGGGAUCGCAAGACCUUGCGCGAAUGGAGCGGCCGAUGGCGGAUUAGGUAGUUGGUGAGGUAAAGGCUCACCAAGCCUUCGAUCUGUAGCUGGUCUGAGAGGACGACCAGCCACACUGGGACUGAGACACGGCCCAGACUCGUACGGGAGCAGCAGUAGGAAUAUGGACAAGUGGACGAAGCCUGAUCCAGCAAUGCCGCGUGAGUGAUGAAGCCUUAGGUUGUAAAGCUACUUUACCGAG